This 468-nucleotide ribosomal RNA is filed under the name uncultured bacterium. Its description in RNAcentral is "partial 16S ribosomal RNA". It matches the Rfam family "Bacterial small subunit ribosomal RNA", at positions 28 to 507 of the family's 1533-position model. The record is from RNAcentral.
GACGAACGCUGGCGGCGUGCUUAACACAUGCAAGUCGAACGGAAAGGCCCUGCUUUUGUGGCGUGCUCGAGUGGCGAACGGGUGAGUAACACGUGAGUAACCUGCCCUUGACUUUGGGAUAACUUCAGGAAACUGGGGCUCAUACCGGAUAGGAGCUCCUGCUGCAUGGUGGGGGUUGGAAAGUUUCGGCGGUUGGGGAUGGACUCGCGGCUUAUCAGCUUGUUGGUGGGGUAGUGGCUUACCAAGGCUUUGACGGGUAGCCGGCCUGAGAGGGUGACCGGCGACAUUGGGACUGAGAGACGGCCCAGACGCCUACGGGAGGCAGCAGGGGGGAAUAUUGCACAAUGGGCGGAAGCCUGAUGCAGCAGCGCCGCGUGCGGGAUGACGGCCUUCGGGUUGUAAACCGCUUUCGCCGGUGACGAAGCGUGAGUGACGGUAAUGGGUAAAGAAGCACCGGCUAACUACGUG